CUGGGGGUAGUGCUAGUCUAUAGGCGGUAGUACCAAUCCUGUCUAAGACUUCGAAUGGUCUAAUGAAUCAGGGGUUCAGUUUUCUCCUCUUGUUAAACCUACUAAUUCCCUUGAAAUGAGUGACCUUGAGGAACACCCGGUCGCCUUUCUCAAAUGCUAAAUCUCUCUUCUGGGUGUUCGUGUAACUCUUCUGCCUGCUCUGAGUCGUCUGAAUGUUCAUUCUGAUCUUAACUAUCUUGGAUGUGGUCUCCUCUACUAGCUCCGGGCCGAACAAUUUUCUAUCGCCCAUUUCUUCCCAACAAAUUGGCGAUCUGCAUAGACGCCCAUAUAACGCCUUAUACAGAGCCAUGCCAAUGCUCGCUUGGUAGUU
This 370-nucleotide long non-coding RNA is filed under the name Carica papaya (papaya). RNAcentral describes it as "long non-coding RNA (CPAP_LNC005902)". Lineage: Eukaryota; Viridiplantae; Streptophyta; Magnoliopsida; Brassicales; Caricaceae. The record is from RNAcentral.